AGCCUUGAUGUACUCCUUUCCCGAUUUGUAACCAGUCUGUUGUUCCAUGUAAUGAAGUAAUAUUGUAUUACUUCAAUUUAAAAAAAGAAUUAAGGUGUAAUUACUUCAAUUUCAAAUAAAAGAAUUAAAGUGUAAUCAAGAUAUUAUUAAAUGAAAAUAGUCUGCCAAAGAAGACCUGCAUCAAAGGAAAUGAGUGUUCAAGCAGAAGAAAGAUGUUUCCAGAUGGAAGAAAUAUAAGAAGGAACAACAAAAAUGGGACAUGUGGGUCAGUCUAAAUAAUACUGACAGCAGAAUGCAGUAUCUCAGGGGGCUUACUACAUACUGGGAAAUAGAAGACCACACAAAACAUACAAGACCACAACAGCACGUAAGACAAAAGGGAGACGACCCUUCCACACUCUUGGAGGCAUGGCCCAUGCUUAUCCGACUAUGAUAAGUUACAGGGGUGUGUUCUAUUUUCUCUGGUAAGCAAGAAAAGAAGCACACUUGUGAGAAGGAGGGAUCAAACAUUUUUUUUUUCAAUGUAAUCCACCUUAAAGAAGAAGGGAAUGAAACAUAAAACAGAUGGGACAAAGGAAAAAAAAGAUUUAGACCCAAAUAUAAUCAGUGAUUACAUUAAAGUAUAAAUAUUAGAAUAAAAGAAAAUUGGUAUGGGGUCACAGAAUGUUACAAUUCAUGGCGGCUUUAGGGACGGCAAGCACUCCACUAGUCUUGCCUGGAGAAUUCCAUGGACAGGGGAGCCUGGCAGGCUCUAGCCCAUGGAGUCCCAUGGAGUUGGACACAACUGAGCGACUAACAGAGUUACUCUAAAUUCCAAAGUUCCCCUCACUCUCCUGUUUAACCCCACAGCUAUCAGGAUAAUACGUACAUUCCUAAUCCCAUUUUACAAACAAAGAAAUCAAGGUACAAGUUAAACACCAAACAAAUGUGAUACGAACCUCGGUAGUCCGACUCCAAAACCCAUGCUCUCUGCUACUGUUGUUGGACAGCUUCCCCAGUUUUCAAAGCCCUCUGUAGGAAUCCAUAUUGUGGCUGAAUGAUGCUACUACAGAGGGCUACUUAAUCAAGAGUAUCUGUAUUACAUACUUUUAUACCUGGACCUAGAAAGAAAACACAUCUCACGAUGUUCAGCCAAAA
RNAcentral lists this long non-coding RNA (1137 nucleotides) under Capra hircus (goat). RNAcentral describes it as "lncRNA (ENSCHIG00010005600.1)". Lineage: Eukaryota; Metazoa; Chordata; Mammalia; Artiodactyla; Bovidae. The record is from RNAcentral.